GUUUACACCCGUUCCCGUACGAUCAGCGAAGUUAAGCAACGUUGGGACUGGUUACUACCUAGAUGGGUUACCGCUUGGGAAUACCAGGUGCUGUAAG
Molecule: non-coding RNA, 97 nt
Organism: Acanthosepion pharaonis
Lineage: Eukaryota; Metazoa; Mollusca; Cephalopoda; Sepiida; Sepiidae
Source: the annotation of a GenBank genome assembly